GGUCGGGAUAGCUCAGCUGGUAGAGCAGAGGACUGAAAAUCCUCGU
This 46-nucleotide transfer RNA is filed under the name Sedum gracile. RNAcentral's name for it is "partial tRNA-Phe". It matches the Rfam family "tRNA", at positions 1 to 44 of the family's 71-position model. From Rfam's summary of the family: Transfer RNA (tRNA) molecules are approximately 80 nucleotides in length. Their secondary structure includes four short double-helical elements and three loops (D, anti-codon, and T loops). The record is from RNAcentral. Lineage: Eukaryota; Viridiplantae; Streptophyta; Magnoliopsida; Saxifragales; Crassulaceae. RNAcentral also lists the same sequence under 8 other names.